GUCUGGCUGGCUCAGUCAGUAGAGCGUGUGACUCUUGAUCUCAGGGUCAUGAGUUCAAACCCCAUGUUGGGCG
RNAcentral lists this transfer RNA (73 nucleotides) under Felis catus (domestic cat). It matches the Rfam family "tRNA". Rfam says of the family: Transfer RNA (tRNA) molecules are approximately 80 nucleotides in length. Their secondary structure includes four short double-helical elements and three loops (D, anti-codon, and T loops). Further hydrogen bonds mediate the characteristic L-shaped molecular structure. tRNAs have two regions of fundamental functional importance: the anti-codon, which is responsible for specific mRNA codon recognition, and the 3' end, to which the tRNAs corresponding amino acid is attached (by aminoacyl-tRNA synthetases). tRNAs cope with the degeneracy of the genetic code in two manners: having more than one tRNA (with a specific anti-codon) for a particular amino acid; and 'wobble' base-pairing, i.e. permitting non-standard base-pairing at the 3rd anti-codon position. The record is from Rfam by way of RNAcentral. Lineage: Eukaryota; Metazoa; Chordata; Mammalia; Carnivora; Felidae. RNAcentral also lists the same sequence under 3 other names.